This 1202-nucleotide long non-coding RNA is filed under the name Anas platyrhynchos platyrhynchos (common mallard). Its description in RNAcentral is "lncRNA (ENSAPLG00000026773.1)". The record is from RNAcentral. Lineage: Eukaryota; Metazoa; Chordata; Aves; Anseriformes; Anatidae.
CCUGUGGUUGGAAUUAUUUGGUCGAGAUCAUGUUGCUAAAGAAAUCUUUAGAUCUCAUGAAUGCAUAAGAACAUCAAGUUCCUUCCAGAAUAAAGAUCACAGAAGGACUUUGUGCAAAAACAAGUACAGUCCUACUGUAGCAGCAGUAUUUUACUUGACAUGACCAGUGCAGAAGAGUACUAAGAGUCCCAGUGAUGGAGCCACAGUUUUUCUGAAUCCGGACUUGUUUGGAUGUUUUGAUAGAGAAAAUGAAAUUGUCACAUGGUUGCUGAUUACAUAGUGAGUGAAUUGUUUCUAACUACGUGUGCUCGGGGAGAUAGACUCAGCAGCUGGGAAAUCCCCAGCAUGUGACUGGUACAGCUGUGUCUGAUAGCCUGAUUAAGCCUUACUGCGGACCUGAGGAUUUCACCGGGUUGCAUCUGUACCUGUGGGUGUCUGCCUGUUGCAGCAUUCAAGAAACUGCCAAAUGUCUUUCAGUUUGCAUCAGCUUUUGAGUGCCUGAGCUCCUUGAGCUGUGCUAAUCUUUUGCUGAUAAAGCAAUGAGGAAAUAGAGUCCCAAGUGCAGGGAGGAAGAAUUUUUCUCUUCAAGGGUGACUAUGGUAUCUUGAAGUCAUCUGCAUAGGUGCCAUGCUGCUAAAGGGCAUAAAUAAAUGCUUAGGAAAAGCAGAAGCUGGGACUUCUGCUUUUCUUCAGGCUAUUUUUAUGCUUAUCCAUCUGCAUCUUGUUCCUGUGUUUUCUCCCCCUGUGGCAUCUUGUCAGCAAUCGGGAUGGGGGGGUUAUUUUCCUCAAUACACUUCAGCCUGUGCCCAUACCAGCAGUUUUCCUGGCACAAAUAAGGCUGUGGUGUGAGGUGGGUAUAAGCCAGAGGGAACAAAGUGUUAAAGCCAGUACUGGUGCUGAAAGAGGUGUCUGUAAAAACACACCUUGUUUUGGUGCAGAGGAGCAGGAAACAGGGUGUAACUGACUUCACCAGGCGAUGUGGUUGCAUGUGGUCGCUUUUGCUCAGAGCAGAGGCCCAGAUCUGAGUGCCUGUGGACCUUCAUUUGGAUCCUUUUCUUUCUGUAGUGGGUUCAACAGAAAUUUCACUGCCUCGGAACUCUAGAAGAGUGUUCUGUGCUAGACCAAAAUGGACGUAAAUGAAUUCAUUGAUAGGAGAAGGAAAAAAAAAUAAAUUCUGUAUAGUACUGUUGUUGUUCUUUUGU